RNAcentral lists this ribosomal RNA (180 nucleotides) under uncultured Glomeromycotina. RNAcentral describes it as "partial small subunit ribosomal RNA". The record is from RNAcentral. Lineage: Eukaryota; Fungi; Glomeromycota.
GGCCUGGCUGGGUGGUCUUGCCGCAAGGUAAGCACUGCUCUGGUCGGGUCUUUCUUUCUGGGGAACCCUCGUGCUCUUAAUUGGGUGCGGGCGGUGGUCCAGGACUUUUACUUUGAAAAAAUUAGAGUGUUCAAAGCAGGCCUAUGCGCCCGAAUACAUUAGCAUGGAAUAAUAAAAUAG